CAGCAGUGGGGAAUAUUGGACAAUGGGCGCAAGCCUGAUCCAGCCAUGCCGCGUGGGUGAAGAAGGCCUUCGGGUUGUAAAGCCCUUUUGUUGGGAAAGAAAAGCAGCCGGUUAAUACCCGGUUGUUCUGACGGUACCCAAAGAAUAAGCACCGGCUAACUUCGUGCCAGCAGCCGCGGUAAUACGAAGGGUGCAAGCGUUACUCGGAAUUACUGGGCGUAAAGCGUGCGUAGGUGGUUGUUUAAGUCCGUUGUGAAAGCCCUGGGCUCAACCUGGGAAUUGCAGUGGAUACUGGGCAACUAGAGUGUGGUAGAGGAUGGCGGAAUUCCCGGUGUAGCAGUGAAAUGCGUAGAGAUCGGGAGGAACAUCUGUGGCGAAGGCGGCCAUCUGGACCAACACUGACACUGAGGCACGAAAGCGUGGGGAGCAAACAGGAUUAGAUACCCUGGUAGUCCACGCCCUAAACGAUGUCUACUAGUUGUUGGGUCUUAAUUGACUUAGUAACGCAGCUAACGCGUGAAGUAGACCGCCUGGGGAGUACGGUCGCAAGAUUAAAACUCAAAGGAAUUGACGGGGACCCGCACAAGCGGUGGAUGAUGUGGAUUAAUUCGAUGCAACGCGAAAAACCUUACCUACCCUUGACAUGUCAGGAAUCCCGAAGAGAUUUGGGAGUGCCCGAAAGAGAGCCUGAACAC
Molecule: ribosomal RNA, 695 nt
Filed under: Mesorhizobium sp.
Lineage: Bacteria; Pseudomonadati; Pseudomonadota; Alphaproteobacteria; Hyphomicrobiales; Phyllobacteriaceae
Description: bacterial SSU rRNA
Rfam family: Bacterial small subunit ribosomal RNA
Source: RNAcentral